This 496-nucleotide ribosomal RNA is filed under the name uncultured bacterium. RNAcentral's name for it is "partial 16S ribosomal RNA". It matches the Rfam family "Bacterial small subunit ribosomal RNA", at positions 29 to 507 of the family's 1533-position model. The record is from RNAcentral.
AUGAACGCUGGCGGCGUGCCUCAUCCCUGCAAGUCGAGCGAACAGUCGAGGAGCUUGCUCCUCUGACGUUAGCGGCGGACGGGUGAGUAACACGUGGAUAACCUACCUAUAAGACUGGGAUAACUUCGGGAAACCGGAGCUAAUACCGGAUAAUAUAUUGAACCGCAUGGUUCAAUAGUGAAAGACGGUUUUGCUGUCACUUAUAGAUGGAUCCGCGCCGCAUUAGCUAGUUGGUAAGGUAACGGCUUACCAAGGCAACGAUGCGUAGCCGACCUGAGAGGGUGAUCGGCCACACUGGAACUGAGACACGGUCCAGACUCCUACGGGAGGCAGCAGUAGGGAAUCUUCCGCAAUGGGCGAAAGCCUGACGGAGCAACGCCGCGUGAGUGAUGAAGGUCUUCGGAUCGUAAAACUCUGUUAUUAGGGAAGAACAAAUGUGUAAGUAACUAUGCACGUCUUGACGGUACCUAAUCAGAAAGCCACGGCUAACUACGUG